Molecule: non-coding RNA, 110 nt
Organism: Paramuricea clavata
Lineage: Eukaryota; Metazoa; Cnidaria; Anthozoa; Malacalcyonacea; Plexauridae
Source: the annotation of a GenBank genome assembly
GACGUCGAUAUUCGACGUCAUAAACACGAUCAACUUUGGUGUUUAUGACGUCGAUAUUCGACGUCAUAAACACGAUCAACUUUGGUGUUUAUGACGUCGAUAUCGAGGUC